This is a long non-coding RNA of Sapajus apella (tufted capuchin), 2737 nucleotides long. RefSeq lists it as uncharacterized. The transcript has 3 exons. The record is from RefSeq and is a predicted model, not a curated record. Lineage: Eukaryota; Metazoa; Chordata; Mammalia; Primates; Cebidae.
UCCUUGUGCUUCCUGGGUGAGGCAACACCCCAUCUUGCUUCAGCUCGCCCUCCUUAGGCUGCACCCACUGUCUAAUCAGUCCAAAUGAGAUGAACCAUGUACCUCAGCUGAAAUGUGGAAAUCACCCACCUUCUGCAUCAGUCUCUCUGGGAGCCGCACAAUGGGGCUGUUCCUAUUUGGCCAUCUUGCCCAGGGACCUGACAAUUAUCAUUUAGUACCAUUUAGCACAAUAACUAUCCUACUUUCAAAAAGUAACAGGAUAAAUCUGUCCUUUUUACAUCCUCUUCCAUCUAUGCUAUUCCUUUGAAAAGAAAUGACUUAAGUAAUUUUUAAAAAGAUUUCAUUACUUAUGGUUUUAAUAUGCUAAAGACAGCAGUUAGAGUCUGAACAUUUUAAGUUAAUAAAAUAUUAAGGAAGAAAUAUUGUUUGCAAAAUAAAGACAUUAUAGCCUUAAGUGAAAACAUAUUUAAUUAUUCACUGCAUUUAGGUUUAAAUAAGCUCCCGAUGGCCCAUUUUUUGGUUUCAUUCUUGGGGAAAAAAGUCUUCUGAAAGUUCUUUAUGUUAGUGGAAUAUUCUGCUUAAUAUUUCAUUUACAUUUGUCCUGAUUCUAUUGUUUUGCUCUUCUAUACCACCUAUGGUGACGAAAGCCCAUUCUUUUUAAUUCACAUUUCUAUUCUGUUUUAUAGGUUAUUUAAUACUGCAUAAUAAGGCAAUUAGGCCACAACCCAGUGCACUCUAAGUGUCAUGGGAAUGAUCCAAAAAAGACAAAAUAAACUUAAUGUAACAUAAAAAUGACUAGGCAGCAUAUUAAAAAAUCAGAUUUCUGAUAAACACUUUAGUGCCAUUAGAAUCCACUGAAAAUAGCCCAGCAAACUUAAUAUCCUCAGUGUCUUUCACACUGUGUGAUUUUACCAGACUAGUCACAAAUGCAUUUUAAAAUAUUUUUUAUAAGAUGGAACCUCAAGUUUACCUGCAUGUCCUAUUAGCUGUUUGUGUUGCACAGCCACUUGAAUUUAGUCAAUUCUGCCUAUACACAAAGACAGACAAUGUUUGACCAAAACACAGGAAUGUCCUAGUGAAUUAGAAAAAAAAGAAGAAAAACUGAAGAUUCCUCCCAAUGCUUUUGCCUUCAUUUAAGCUUGCUUCUUGUUAUUCAAUCAGCCCGCUGAGUAGAUGCUAUGUCUUUUUAGGUCUCCUCAUUAUUCAAGCAUUCAGCAUAUUUUUUAAAAAGUGUGUCUCUUAUGCUAUAAUGUCUUGAUGUGUCCUCUACUAAGUUUUGGAAAUUGUUUUAAUAAGGACAUGGUACAUUAUGCUAACAUAACAAAUUGACCUCCAAAUCUCAGUGGAUUAACACAACAAAGCAUAUUUUUCUCAACCUACAUAUCUUAAAUUGGUCAGGCCAAUUGAGAUCUCUGCUCCACAAUGCUACUUGGGCUUUUAGAGGUUCCACCAUAAUGGUGGCAUCAGCAUAAUGUGACACUGCCAUUUCCCAAAAAUAAAACUGGCUACUGAGUAUGCUGUGUCAACAAAGGUAAAACAUGAACUUCCGUGCUCAUUUUCACUUCUAUUUAUUUGUCAUCGGAGUCUAGGAAACUCAGGAAGAGGAAAAGAAGUGGUAAGCAGCAUGUACUGUGUUUCCAUCAGAAGAAGUUAUUUCUAGGAGGCAGUACUGUGAACUAAAAAGGUCUCUAAACUUUGAGGCAAGAUAUCUGAUUUUGGACAAGUCACUUGGCUUUUCUGAGUCUGAAUAUGCAAAAUGAGAAUUUUUUUUUUUAAUUGAGGUUGCUAAAUUUUCCAUUCAGUAGCUGGAAAAGUGAAUUUCCUGUAGAAUGACAGGAAUUACAUAGAGGCAAGCAAUUUUAUUUUCCUUAAAUGUAGCAUUAAUUUUAAUGUGUACAUAUAUAAACAGUACAAUUUUAAAAUCUUGAAGGUAACAUGCAUAUUUUAAGGUGCAGGUGGGACAGGGGAGGAUUUUAGGCAUCUCUGAUUUUCCUUACAACUUUUUCUUUUCCAGUUCCUUCUGCAAAAGCACUGAGUCAGGAAACUUUAUCUGGAAAGCUGAAGUUAAAGGUGAGCUUCCUAAAGUCUGUACUUCUACAUAUCACAAACAAAAUGGCAACAACUUUCUAGAGCAGUUUGGUAGACACUAAAGUCAUAUGGCUGAGCCUUCAAGCUCAAAAUGAAAUCAGGAAUUCAUUUUCUAAAAUACUAAAGGAGAUCAUGUUUGCAACUGUGUCCUAUUUAUGUUUCAUAGUUGCUACCCAUGUGAUAACUUCCACCAGUCUUUUUAUUUGGUAUAGUUUCUGAAUAUAUGCUGUUUAAUGGAGUUACAUGUAAUUAAGGUGUGGUGAGAUGCAGAAGGAAGGACUGAGAAAAUCACUUUUCCUUGAAGUCUGAGUCCAUGCUCCUCUUCCAGUAUUCUUAUGACCUUUUCUCUGCCAUUGAGGCAGACACAGCUGAUGCAGAAUGUCAGAUCUUUCAUCAUUCAAAGGCCUGGGGAUGCAGACCAAGGUUGCUUUCUGGUUUGGGUUAUUAUUAGCAUAAGAGCAGUGAAGAUAUGCAAGAAUUUCUCUAAAGUAUCUUCCUAGAAGUGGAAUGGCUGGGUAACAAGUUUUCCUUCUAACAGUGCAAUCCCUCUGCUGUAGGACUGCUGGAGGUCCACUUUAGACUCUGGUUGCCUGGGAAUCACUGGCGGGGGUUGCAGAUCAGGAAGCAUUGCUGCCUGAUCUUCCCUCUG